GUAGUUUGAUCCGUGGCUCAGAGCGAACGCUGGCGGCAGGCUUAACACAUGCAAGUCGAGCGGGCCCUUCGGGGUCAGCGGCGGACGGGUGAGUAACGCGUGGGAACGUGCCUUCUGGUUCGGAAUAACCCUGGGAAACUAGGGCUAAUACCGGAUACGCCCUUUGGGGAAAGGUUUACUGCCGGAAGAUCGGCCCGCGUCUGAUUAGCUAGUUGGUGGGGUAACGGCCUACCAAGGCGACGAUCAGUAGCUGGUCUGAGAGGAUGAUCAGCCACACUGGGACUGAGACACGGCCCAGACUCCUACGGGAGGCAGCAGUGGGGAAUAUUGGACAAUGGGCGCAAGCCUGAUCCAGCCAUGCCGCGUGAGUGAUGAAGGCCUUAGGGUUGUAAAGCUCUUUUAUCCGGGACGAUAAUGACGGUACCGGAGGAAUAAGCCCCGGCUAACUUCGCG
RNAcentral lists this ribosomal RNA (453 nucleotides) under uncultured Methylobacterium sp. RNAcentral's name for it is "bacterial SSU rRNA". It matches the Rfam family "Bacterial small subunit ribosomal RNA", at positions 9 to 507 of the family's 1533-position model. The record is from RNAcentral. Lineage: Bacteria; Pseudomonadati; Pseudomonadota; Alphaproteobacteria; Hyphomicrobiales; Methylobacteriaceae.